Molecule: long non-coding RNA, 299 nt
Organism: Oryzias latipes (Japanese medaka)
Lineage: Eukaryota; Metazoa; Chordata; Actinopteri; Beloniformes; Adrianichthyidae
Source: RefSeq, a predicted model, not a curated record
CAGCGCCAGCAGCUGCGUGCCCGUGCUGUUGAAGCGGACGCUCAUGGCGCUCUGCAGGGACAUGCUGCCGCCGUAACGCAGCAGCGAGCUGGGAGGAAGCCAGCAGAACACAGACGAGCUCACGGAGAUCGGAUCCGAAGCGUCUCCUUCCGGAUCGAUGCGGACGGUUUUAUGAAAUAUGCAGAACGAAAAGGGAAAAAAUGCAUCUGUGUGAAGGAAACUCCACUUUAAGGAAGUCCUAAAAAUGAAUCUAUUUACAGCAAUUUAAGAAGAAAUAAACAUUUUUUCUGCUUUAAAGA